AUUAAAUCCCGAAAAGAACGUUGAUUUUGCUGUAAAGUUCCAUGUCACAGCGCGAUCCACCGUGUACGCAAACGUCGCGGUGGGCAAAUCGCUGCGAGACCCAGCGUGCUGCGUCUCUUCAGGCAACAGCUGUCUCUCUUCAUUUCGGCACUUUUUG
Non-coding RNA from Caenorhabditis elegans, 157 nucleotides. NCBI's taxonomy places the organism in Eukaryota, Metazoa, Nematoda, Chromadorea, Rhabditida, Rhabditidae. The record is from Ensembl.